CAAUUGUAUUUGGGUUAGGCUUUGAGGAGUCUCUCCACUUCCAUCCACCUUUACAGUUGUACUUGAUCUUGUUCUUAGGGAUGGAUGCACCCCUGUGAUGGACAUGCCUUGGGUAGUGAUUACCAAAACCCACAACAUAGCUCAUUUUCCGAGGAUUUUUGCCCAAGAUGUAAUCAAUCUGGGUUUUGGCAAAUUCACGCAAGACCUCAGUCGAAUAGAAAUUUGGUCCACAGUACCAUCCAGGUGUGUCUGCAGCAUCGAGAUAAUCACUAAAUAGGGUGGCAAG
RNAcentral lists this unclassified non-coding RNA (286 nucleotides) under Hevea brasiliensis (rubber tree). The record is from RNAcentral. Lineage: Eukaryota; Viridiplantae; Streptophyta; Magnoliopsida; Malpighiales; Euphorbiaceae.